This is a long non-coding RNA of Heterocephalus glaber (naked mole-rat), 457 nucleotides long. RefSeq lists it as uncharacterized. NCBI's taxonomy places the organism in Eukaryota, Metazoa, Chordata, Mammalia, Rodentia, Bathyergidae. The record is from RefSeq and is a predicted model, not a curated record.
GCAGAAGGCUUGGAACAGCUGGGGUUCGGCUGACAUACGAAAGCCCUUGACUGCUUGUCUUUCCACCUCUUGAGUAAACACUGACUUGAUAGAAGAAUGUGGAUGAUCAUUGCUGCACCAGUCAAAUUGGGAGGACAUGAAAAGCACGGUUCAUUAUCACCGGUUUUUACAAUAAUUUCUGCUGAGAAAGAAGAGAUCUGUAUCUCUGAUGAAAAGGCCUCAGAACAAUGAAGGACACAGAUAACACACGGAGUUCCUGUGUGGGUCUUUGGGACAUUUUUCAGAUUUUCCACCAGGUGAGGGUAAAACACGAAGCAGAAGUGGGCAUCUUGGAAGAUGAAUCAAGCUGACACUCUGGUCUCAGAUUUCCAUGCUCCAGAACUGUGAGAAAUAAACUUCUGUUAUUUAUAAGACUUCCAAAAAAUAAAAAAGACUUCCAGUCUAUGGUCAUUUAUUA